Molecule: ribosomal RNA, 95 nt
Filed under: uncultured bacterium
Lineage: Bacteria
Description: partial 16S ribosomal RNA
Rfam family: Bacterial small subunit ribosomal RNA
Source: RNAcentral
CACCGCCCGUCACACCAUGGGAGUUGAUUGCUCCAGAAGUACCUAAGCUAACCGCAAGGAUGCAGGGUCCCAAGGAGUGGUCGAUGACUGGGGUG